CCUACGGGGGGCUGCAGUGGGGAAUAUUGGACAAUGGGGGCAACCCUGAUCCAGCCAUGCCGCGUGUGUGAAGAAGGCCCUCGGGUUGUAAAGCACUUUCAGUGAGGAAGAACGCCUGGUGGUUAAUACCCAUCAGGAAAGACAUCACUCACAGAAGAAGCACCGGCUAACUCCGUGCCAGCAGCCGCGGUAAUACGGAGGGUGCGAGCGUUAAUCGGAAUUACUGGGCGUAAAGCGCGCGUAGGUGGCUUGAUAAGCCGGUUGUGAAAGCCCCGGGCUCAACCUGGGAACGGCAUCCGGAACUGUCAAGCUAGAGUGCAGGUGAGGAAGGUAGAAUUCCCGGUGUAGCGGUGAAAUGCGUAGAGAUCGGGAGGAAUACCAGUGGCGAAGGCGGCCUUCUGGACUGACACUGACACUGAGGUGCGAAAGCGUGGGUAGCAAACAGGAUUAGAUACCCCAGUAGUC
This 465-nucleotide ribosomal RNA is filed under the name Vreelandella stevensii. RNAcentral describes it as "partial 16S ribosomal RNA". It matches the Rfam family "Bacterial small subunit ribosomal RNA", at positions 338 to 795 of the family's 1533-position model. Lineage: Bacteria; Pseudomonadati; Pseudomonadota; Gammaproteobacteria; Oceanospirillales; Halomonadaceae. The record is from RNAcentral.